GAUGAACGCUGGCGGCGUGCUUAACACAUGCAAGUCGAACGGGAUCCAAGGGGUGCUUGCACUUUUUGGUGAGAGUGGCGAACGGGUGAGUAACACGUGAGUAACCUGUCCUUUUCUUUGGGAUAAGCAUUCGAAAGGGUGUUUAAUACCUUAUGUUCUGUCUGCCUCGCAUGGGGUGGGUGGGAAAGGCUUUGGCCGGAUUUGGGUGGGCUCGCGGUCUAUCAGCUUGUUGGUGGGGUGAUGGCUUACCAAGGCUUUGACGGGUAGCCGGCCUGAGAGGGGGUUCGGUACAAUGGGGGGUGAGAGCCGGCGAAGCGUCCGGGGGGGGGGGGGGGGGGGGGAUAUUGCAAAAGGGGAGAAAGCUGGAGGCAGCGGGGCCGCGGGGGGGAGGAGGGCCUUGGGUUUGUAAAUUUUUGUUGUUUUAAACAGGGCAGGCAGGUGGGUGUUUGGGGGGGGGGGGUUGAUUAGCGCCGGCUAACUACGGC
RNAcentral lists this ribosomal RNA (485 nucleotides) under uncultured bacterium. Its description in RNAcentral is "partial 16S ribosomal RNA". It matches the Rfam family "Bacterial small subunit ribosomal RNA", at positions 28 to 508 of the family's 1533-position model. The record is from RNAcentral.